ACGAACCGUGCUAACGUUAUUCGGAAUCACUGGGCUUAAAGCGCGUGUAGGCGGAUGGGAACGUCGGUUGUUGAAAGCCCCCGGCUCAACCGGGGAACUGGCACCGAAACGCCCCGUCUGGAGGGACGUAGGGGGACCUGGAACUUCCGGUGGAGCGGUGAAAUGCGUUGAGAUCGGAAGGAACGCCCGUGGCGAAAGCGAGGUCCUGGACGUUUUCUGACGCUGAGACGCGAAAGCUAGGGGAGCGAACGGGAUUAGAUACCCCGGUAGUCCUAGCUGUAAACGAUGGGCACUGGAUAGGGGGCUCGCCGAUGGGCUCCCUGUCGUAGGGAAACCGUGAAGUGCCCCGCCUGGGGAGUAUGGUCGCAAGGCUG
Molecule: ribosomal RNA, 374 nt
Filed under: uncultured bacterium
Lineage: Bacteria
Description: bacterial SSU rRNA
Rfam family: Bacterial small subunit ribosomal RNA
Source: RNAcentral